Long non-coding RNA from Populus trichocarpa (black cottonwood), 2255 nucleotides. RefSeq lists it as uncharacterized. Lineage: Eukaryota; Viridiplantae; Streptophyta; Magnoliopsida; Malpighiales; Salicaceae. The transcript is spliced from 4 exons. The record is from RefSeq and is a predicted model, not a curated record.
GACAAUGCGGGUCAUGAGCCAGCUGCUGCUGGUGGCAAUGGGGUUCAAUGUGUGGAUGAGAAAGCAACAAAUGUGAAGCUGAGGCAUAAGUAUAGCAAUUCAGUUGAUGGGUCUUCUUUAACGGAAUCUAUUGACUCAAAAAAAGGCUAUGGCUCCUGAAAAACUCGCUGAGUUGUGGGCUCUUGAUCCUAACGAGCCAAAAGGUACUUUCCUUUUGCUUUAUGUACAUGUUUUGCCUUGAAUCAAUCAUUAAAUAAUUCUGUUUAUUUGCUUAACCCCCCCCCCCCCCCGCCCUUCGAAUUUUAUCUUAUCUCGUCGAAUCAGGGGGCUUGUAGUUUAUGGCUAACUUUCUUCCUUUCUUCUAGAGAAAGCAAUGCUCAUGUGGAGAGCAUAAAAUGUUGCAACCAAAAAUUAAGAAGCUGCUUAAUUUUUCUUUCUUGUUUUUUUUUUUUAUAAAAAACUUCCAAAUCGCUAACAUAAAGGGAAGCAGUAUGGAAGGAGCUCAAAUCUCUUGAUAUCAAGGUGGGUUUGGUUGGGAUUGAGGUUUAGUUGAUGUAACUUACUAAUUGAUGGAUUAUGUAGUUUUGGAAGUAUAUGAGAAUUCAGUGCAUGCAUGGGCCGCUCUAUGCAUUUAGGUACUGUGAUUGCUAGACGUAUUUCGUCAAUGGAUUCUGAAACUUAUUACUGAUGGGGAUGUUGGUUUUGACAUUAUCAGGUCCUCGGGAAGCCUACAGUGGAUGAGUUUUUCUGAUUGAUAUCUUAAUGUCCAGUUCUGUCCUUUCCUCUCGCAUAAUCCCAUCUUUCUACUUAGCCAAUGAAGCUUGCCAGAUUUGUUCUGUCAUUUUUCAGCUGGCGUCUCUAUGGUUAAGCAUGUUUUUAAGUUAUUUGUUUCUGUUGCAUCAAUGCUAUGCGAUGAAAAAUCAAUGCCAUACAUUUAAAUGAAGACCAAAUACAUCUCUUCCAAAAGUUUGAAUAAGAACUCCAGGGAUGAAUUGGCUUUUAAUGCUUUACUACCUUAAUAUCUCAGGUUUUUUUUUUUUUUUUUUUAACAUUUCUUAGGUUACUUCUUUUUCUGAAUAUGAACCCUUUGACUUUACAACAAUGAGCUAGGAAACUAUCGAAAGCUUUUCAUGGUAUUUUAUUUUUAUUAAUUUAUCUCAAAUUAUCUAUUUUUUGAAGUAUAUUAUGUAGCCUGUCCAUGAUACUCUAAAGAGUGAUUCUUUAUUAAUCAUGGAAUUGCUUUUGAUUAAUCUGAUUUACAUGCAGAUGAAUAAAAAAGUAUAAAUUCUAUAAAUUUCCUCUGAAACUAUCUAGGAUUAUGGCCAAUAGGCAGUCUGCUGCUCGCUUGAAAGAGAGCCCGAUAUCGUAUGUAUCCGAACUUGAAAGAAAAGUGCAUACCAACUUACACUUUUCCAGAGGGAUACAUCAAGUCUGACUACUGAGAACUCAGAGCUUAAGCUUCGAUUACAAGCUAUGGAACAACAGGCUGAAUUACAUGACGCUCUGAAUGAAGCAUUGAAGAAGGAAAUAGAGAGACUCAAGUUUGCUACUGGAGAAAUUAUGGCACCAACAGUAGCUAUAAUUUGGGGAUGCAUCAUAUUCCAUAUAACCAUUCUCACAUGCUUUCACCUAAGCAUAUCGAAGGCCAGUUCAUCGUUUAGAAGAUGUUUGAGACCAGAGAUUGCUGCUUCCCCUUCUCAUGCCUGCCAGAGAUGUUGCUACAGGAUCCUCUCACAUAGUUGCAGGGGCUUGAUAUCAGCAGCAGAGCUAGAUCUGAAUGCCCCCCAAUUUCCGCCAGUGAAGAACUUCAUUACAGAAUCUCUUGAGGAUUUAUCUAUGUUCAAUUUCAUAUAUACACUACUGGUCAUCGCGAUUCGCGCUCAAUUCAAAUCCAAAUACUGUUUCUAAACCUUCGUACUUUAAUAUUCAAUUCAUAUCCAUACUCCUAAACACACUUCAGGCUUUCAUGCUUCCAUAGCAUUUGUUGUUUUGGAUGAUGCCAAACCCCAGUUUCCAAAUUAUCUGUUCUACCCCACCUCAAGUCAAUAUCCUUGGUUUCUCCAUUAUAGGUGUCCUCCUCGUUCCAUUUGCUUGCAGCUUGUAUAUUUGGCAGACUUACUAGUAGAAGAGGGAGGGGAGAGAGCUGUGAUUUGGGAAAAGAAAACACAGACAAGAAUUGGGUUGUGUUGAUUGGUUGGCCACCCAUGCUCAUUCCUUAUAUAUGUAUUUUAUGGAAGCUCCUAUGGUUUAUCUUA